Ribosomal RNA from Danio rerio (zebrafish), 119 nucleotides. The record is from Ensembl. NCBI's taxonomy places the organism in Eukaryota, Metazoa, Chordata, Actinopteri, Cypriniformes, Danionidae.
AUUUGCAGGCAGUUAGCUCUCUGCAACUCUCACAUGGUCGCCCACUGAAGCUAACCAGGGCUGCGCCUGGUCAGUACCUGAUUGGGAGACCACAUGGGAUAGCUAAGUUGCUGUAGGAA